RNAcentral lists this ribosomal RNA (574 nucleotides) under Fazia sp. ZFMK XP224. RNAcentral describes it as "partial large subunit ribosomal RNA". The record is from RNAcentral. Lineage: Eukaryota; Metazoa; Arthropoda; Insecta; Diptera; Syrphidae.
AGUACGUGAAACUGCUUAGAGGUUAAGCCCGAUGAACCUGAAUAUCCAUUAUGGAAAAUUCAAUAUUAAGAAAAUAAUAUAAAUAAUAUUAUAAAAAUAGUAUGCAAUUUUUCCAUAUAAGGACAUUGUAAUCUGUUAAUGUUAUAAAUAUUUAUCAAAAGAUCUAAUACUUAAGUUUAUUUAAAUUGUUUAUUUUCGGAUAUUCAACAUAAAAUAAAUGUGUUAGAUUGGAUAAAUCAUUGACAGAUCGAAUUAUAUAUUGUGCAUAAAUUCUUCGGAAUUUUUCAGUGGUAGAUAGAUCUAUUGAUUUAUUUAUUGAUUGCAUGCAUAAUUAUGAUUGACAAUGCGAUAGAUUCAGGAUACCUUCGGGACCCGUCUUGAAACACGGACCAAGGAGUCUAACAUAUGUGCAAGUCAUUGGGUAUUUUUAAUAAAACCCAAUGGCAUAAUUAACUUAACUGUUAUUUAUAAUGAGAUUAAUUUAUAUUUUGUUAUGAUUUAUUUAUUCAAUCUCGGGGCGUUCUAUACAGUUAUGCAUAAUAAUAUUUAUAUUAUUUAUGCCUCUAACUAGAGC